Clupea harengus (Atlantic herring) is the source of this 4111-nucleotide long non-coding RNA. The record is from Ensembl. NCBI's taxonomy places the organism in Eukaryota, Metazoa, Chordata, Actinopteri, Clupeiformes, Clupeidae.
UUGUGAAGGACUUUAGCCAUAGGAAAAUGCAUGAAUAGAGAGGUUUUUUUACUUAGAACUUCAGAAGCACUCUGCAACAUCACACAGGGGAAGAACCACAGACCUGCGUUUUCGUACAUUAUAUUUGUGUAUUAUACGUUUAUUCACAUCUUUGUCUUUCAUCCACCAUCAUAACCAGCCAUGAGGGCAUCGUUGAUAUUUCUAUUUGUGAUACUGAUGGGUGACCAAAGUCAAUGCCAAAGUGGGGAUUAUGAAAUUGAAUACGAACAUGAACCGGGUCCAGACAUCCUGGGACUGAUCAAACAGACUGCACUGGGCAAGGAAAUCAGUGACAAGAUCUCAGAGAGUGUGGAUGCAAUCAAUCAAUAUGCCCAAGCCGUGGGAAGCAAGGCCCAGUCUAUGUUUGAUAACCUGGGUCGUCAAGCUGAACGUGAAGCCAUGUUUGCCAAACAAGAUAUCCAGAACAACGCCAUUGCUGCUGUCCAGAACGUCCACGGCCGGCUAACGCAGAGUGCUGGGGACAUGCGGCUGAAGACUGAGUCACUCAUCGAGGCGGUUGCACACUCCCUGCAGAUUCAUCUUCACGUGUUUUGGGAGUCACUGACAAAAGGAAAUGAAACACACCCUCUGUUCCAGUGAGAUGCCCAAUGCCAGUGUGAUGGAGGCCCAUGAGUGUGCAUGUCAAUCUUACCUAGAUUAGGUGGGCCAUACCCGCUUAAUACUAUUUAUGAUGUGAAUGAUAAUCUUGCUCUCUCAUUUUUAUCACAACAAAUUCAUCUAGCAGCAGUUUUUCAUUGCUGUUUGUAUUCCUCAAUAACUGAAUGGAGUGUUAAGAGUUGAAUGCUAAGUACACAGAGUGCAAUAAACUCUACUCUCAAACUGUACUCUCAUACUGUUCAUUUAUUAUCUGUUCAUUUAGGCUUCCGCUGAACUACAGAGGCAAAAACAGUAGGCCAGUAUUACUGGGAGGUAGGCCUGCAUCUAGAACAGAGCAUAUCUGUGUGAGAAAAAAACUGUAUCUAUUAACAUGAGACAGCCUGCAGCCAAAGGUACACUGGCAGUUGAGGCGCAGUCUUGCACUCUUUUCUCUCUCUUGCUCAGCAACUUUGAGCCUAAAUUCUUUGUCUUUCAUUCGUUAAUGGUAUUUCUAUUAGGGAGACUAAUGGAUGGUAAGGAACAGUUAUAUAUGUUAAUUUACUUCAGUUUUCUGCCAACAAUUAAUAGUUUACAUUCUGUCAGUCACUGACUGCAAACAUUUGUAAUAUGUUUGGUACAAAUAUAUCCUUGCUUAAUUAGUUCAUACAAAUUGGAAUUGUAUAGAAUUGGCUUUACUGGAGAUUUCAUCUACAUAGGCCUACACAUAAAUGAGCGGUACUCGAGAUCCCAUUGUCUGGCUAGUGAAAAAAUCACAUAAGUGUAUAGCACUGUAGCCUCAAACUUGAGAUUUGAGCCAUAGAAUAAAUGCAUAAAUGCCAAGACAUGCCCUUGGAUAUCCCCUUUCUAUGGAAACGGUCUUUCCAUAGUCAUACAGGUUAUGGUUAACAAAAGCUUUAUCAAAUUAAAUAUGACUUCAUUUAAUUAUUUAACUACAAUACUCGACAAAAGUGAAGAUAAGAUUCAGAAGGGUAGAGUAGAAUGUCUGAGGAUGACUUUAGAAUGUUUUGACCUGCUUCUCACUCGCUCCUCUGACUGCAAGCAAAUCAUGAAAAAAAUUGUGUUAUUCUAACUACCUUUACAUCCAGUCAUUUCAUUCAACAGUGCAAUUCAAAAGACGGCAUUAGAUGAAAAGCCCAAACUGGGAUUUCUUUUCCUCCUGGCCCCAUUUGGCUCUAUUAUCUGUAUUGAUAUAAACCCCAAUGAAAUGAUCACAAAGAUAGUCUGUCUGACACUCUUGACUCGCCCAUCCUGAUAAGAGACUGUGGGGCUUUAACCGGCCAGCACAGCCAAUGGGAUAAAGCCAAGGUUUUCAGUUGUUACUGCAAGGGUCCUCCUGCUAGGCCCUGUUUUCUCUUUUUUAUCACAUGUGUAAACCCAUUUCCUUAAAUGCCCCCUAACUACACACCCACAUCCACCUAUACACAUCCACACACAGACCAUCACAUGUGUUGAGUGCAUGACAGUAGGAAAGCCCCAAACACAGCGCUAUCUCUGUUUAUGCCAGUGGACUUUCUUCGGUGCACUAUGGAGCUUCAUGGCUAAAGAUAUGUUACACAACGCUUCAAGAAAUCAUGCAGUUGCAACUACGACUCCGCUCACACAGGUAAGAUUCAUCCACAGAGCUGUGAGCUUCUCUACUCAGCGUUCCAUUUUGAGCAUGUCACACUUUCUUCUCUCUCCCAAGGAUUGAAGAGUUGCGAUGAAGGUGUCGGCAGCAGUCGUGCUGGUUUUGAUCAGUGCGGCUUGCCAUGGCUAUGAGGAGCAUGUGGCCCUGGAGAACAGCCUAUUAGAAGCCUGGGGACUGGACGAGACUGACCCUUGGGAUUCCCUGAGGGGGUUAGGGGCUGAGGUGCACCGAGCAUUUACACACGCAAUGGGCGGUGAGGUCAGGAACGAGAUCUCUGGGGGCGUUGACACGGCCGUCCGCUUUGGGAUGUCCAUGUUGAACGACGCAAGAGAUACGGGGGAGAGCGUGUGGGAGCAGAUCUCGGAGGAGGCAGAAAAGCUGGACAGUCAGCUGGAGGAGGACAUGAGCCGCCGGUUGGAGGCCAUCGAGAGUCACGCCGAGGCCUACACUCAGGAGGCGCGCAGGAAGAUCGACCAGAAUCUACUGGAGAUCCAGAAGAACCCCAUCCCUGUGGUCCAGACCUUCCAGGGCCAGCUGGCCCAGACGGCGCUGAAUAUCCGCACGAGCGCUGAGUUCUUUAUCGGAGAGUUUGCGUCACUCUGGGAACCUGCUCUACAGCAAGAUUAAGCUCGCUGCUUAGAUUUUUUCCUUACUUUAGAAGCUCAGCCAUACUGUAUUUUUAUGGAGAUCAUGCUAUGGCUUGAUGUCACCUUGUUUGAAUUCCAGACACUUUACUGUUACAAGAGAUUUCCUUUGCGGUAUUCAGAGUCAAGGGCUUCAGCAAGAGUUGUGUGUGAGAAAUGCAAUUGCAGCUGGCUCAGAAGAGCAGCAGAAUCUGGCUCCCUACGCAGAGGAGCUGAAGGGAAAACUGGAUCCCUUAGCUCAGGACCUGAAGACCCAGCUCACCACAUUGUGGGAUUCCUUCACCAAGAACAGCCAGUAAGAACAGUGUCCCAGAUCUGGCCCUUGCCAGCGGAUGUUUAAUUUAUGCUAACCUAAGAGACUCACUGGCUCAAGACGAUCCCUAUCAGACCUCUGCCAACCAGAUGUUACUCUUGAUGAUCACUUCUUUGAGAUUGUUAUACUAGAGAUGACAGUGACAGAGAAGAGGAUGGUAAUAGUUUCAAAAUAUAUUUAAACAAUAUGUGUGCCACAAGAAUUGUCACAGUUUAAGUCAGACAGUUAAGAAUGUACACCUUGGUCGACACUCCUCUACCACGCCCAAUCGCUAUGACGUCUUCAUUUGAAACUAGAAUUUUAGUUGACAUGGAUUCACUGUGACCUUCCCUCAACAUCAGCAUAAAAUUAGGUCCCAUUUAAAAUAUGGAUGUGAAUAUUCUGUAUUUGAUGUCGAAAUGUCGCAUAAUGGCUCCACUCUACUUGUGUUAGCUUCAGGCACUGAAAAUAUUAAGCCUUCCCGGUUGAAUCUUUUUGUUGGAUUUUUUUUUAUUUUUUUUUAUUGUCACAUGGGCUUCAAAUGUUUCAUUUUAAAAGAAUGACAAAAUAAAUGAUUGCAUUUGCAUUGUUGUUUGUAUUUUAAUUCAAUGAGGUUGUGUAUUUUUAAAUCAAAUCAAAUCAAACAUUGAAAGCAUUUCAUACCAGGAGGUAAUACAAAGAGUUUCACAGAAGGAAAUGCCCCCCAUUACAGACAAAGAUUUUCCAGAGAGAUGAAAAAACCAUAUCAUGUAAAUAACUUAUUACAACGCACGCACAUACACAUGUACAGCAGACCCACUUCAGAAUAGAUAAAUAUUACACAGAAUGAAAGGCGAGAUUAAAGACAUACAUGUAUGUCUUAAGUGUACGCUUAAAGGUUUCCACCGUUUC